GCGCCAGCUUUCAACUGCUUCUGUUUGUUCAAGAGAACAAUGCAAAAAUAAGCCAAAUAAGGAGUCAAAUUACUAACUACAGCAAUGCAAGAAUUUAAAGGACGAUAUUUUUUAGCUUACUGCAAAAUGAUAAAGAUGGGUAAUCAAAGAUUUUACUAGAAAUGCAAAAGACAGCCCAAGUGCAUGGACAGUAUACAGGAGGAACUCCUAAUUAGAAAUAGGAAAAGAGA
This is a long non-coding RNA of Juglans microcarpa x Juglans regia, 230 nucleotides long. RefSeq lists it as uncharacterized. The record is from RefSeq and is a predicted model, not a curated record. The transcript has 2 exons. Lineage: Eukaryota; Viridiplantae; Streptophyta; Magnoliopsida; Fagales; Juglandaceae.